This 230-nucleotide unclassified non-coding RNA is filed under the name Hevea brasiliensis (rubber tree). The record is from RNAcentral. Lineage: Eukaryota; Viridiplantae; Streptophyta; Magnoliopsida; Malpighiales; Euphorbiaceae.
GUGAGAUAGAGGUGUUCCUGAAACAAAUUUAAAUAAGCUUUCUUCUCAAGCUUCCCUUUAUGUGAUUUUAUCACCCAGACAAAACAUAUGUUGCAGAAGAGAGGAGACCCAUAAAAGUAACAGGGACAUAACUAGUGGAACUUGCUAUUGUGAUAACCAAGUAAAAGCUUCUAUUAUAGUUGAAUAAUAUCAUUUUUCUGAAGUCCCAUUUUCAGUGCCCUGCAAUCACU